Erigeron canadensis is the source of this 119-nucleotide long non-coding RNA. RefSeq lists it as uncharacterized. Lineage: Eukaryota; Viridiplantae; Streptophyta; Magnoliopsida; Asterales; Asteraceae. The record is from RefSeq and is a predicted model, not a curated record. The transcript has 3 exons.
UCCUAAUCUUGAAGGUUGAAGCAUACAUGUUUUGUGUUCAUGCGGUCUUCUUGAGUUAUGAUUUUGGUUGUCGCGGAGGAGGUAGUUCCGGAAGAAGGAACUAGUUGUUGAUUUAAAGC